Molecule: ribosomal RNA, 339 nt
Filed under: uncultured Escherichia sp.
Lineage: Bacteria; Pseudomonadati; Pseudomonadota; Gammaproteobacteria; Enterobacterales; Enterobacteriaceae
Description: bacterial SSU rRNA
Rfam family: Bacterial small subunit ribosomal RNA
Source: RNAcentral
UCAGAUUGAACGCUGGCGGCAGGCCUAACACAUGCAAGUCGAACGGUAACAGGAAACAGCUUGCUGUUUCGCUGACGAGUGGCGGACGGGUGAGUAAUGUCUGGGAAACUGCCUGAUGGAGGGGGAUAACUACUGGAAACGGUAGCUAAUACCGCAUAACGUCGCAAGACCAAAGAGGGGGACCUUCGGGCCUCUUGCCAUCAGAUGUGCCCAGAUGGGAUUAGCUAGUAGGUGGGGUAACGGCUCACCUAGGCGACGAUCCCUAGCUGGUCUGAGAGGAUGACCAGCCACACUGGAACUGAGACACGGUCCAGACUCCUACGGGAGGCAGCAGAGGGG